AGCGAACGCUAGCGGCGGGCUUAACACAUGCAAGUCGAGCGCAUCUCCUUCGGGAGGUGAGCGGCGAACGGGUGAGUAACACGUAGGUAACGUACCCUCUGGUGGGGAAUAACCCAGGGAAACUUGGGCUAAUACCGCAUGUGCCCUUCGGGGUGAAAGACUUCGGUUGCCAGAGGAUCGGCCUGCGGCCCAUUAUUUAAUCCUAGUUGGUAGGGUAACGGCCUACCAAGGGUACGAUGGGUAGCUGGUCUGAGAGGAUGAUCAGCCACACUGGGACUGAGACACGGCCCAGACUCCUACGGGAGGCAGCAGUGGGGAAUAUUGGACAAUGGGCGAAAGCCUGAUCCAGCCACGCCGCGUGAGUGAUGAAGGCCUCGG
RNAcentral lists this ribosomal RNA (378 nucleotides) under uncultured bacterium. Its description in RNAcentral is "bacterial SSU rRNA". It matches the Rfam family "Bacterial small subunit ribosomal RNA", at positions 29 to 420 of the family's 1533-position model. The record is from RNAcentral.